Pomacea canaliculata is the source of this 5781-nucleotide long non-coding RNA. RefSeq lists it as uncharacterized. The transcript is spliced from 2 exons. NCBI's taxonomy places the organism in Eukaryota, Metazoa, Mollusca, Gastropoda, Architaenioglossa, Ampullariidae. The record is from RefSeq and is a predicted model, not a curated record.
AAGCUAUUAAAUGUUCCCUUUUCACUGUAUAUAUAAUUAUCUUAAAAUUUUCAAAUGGCUUGAUCAGUAAUAUUUUUUUCAAAUCCUGGAGUAGCAAAGCAAGUUGUAAAAGUGUUAGAAGAAAAGUCCCACAAGGAACUUACCAUUUAAAUCCUAUGUACUGCGAUUCUAACUGAUGGCAUGACCAUUAGAAAACACUUGGACUGGGUUCCCAAAAACAGAGAUGGUUAUAGGGUUCGUAAAUUUCGGAGCUGGAUCCCUAAAUAUAUAGUGAUCACCUGUUGCAGAGGCUACAGAAACUAUUGUGGUAAUGGCAGUAGGUUAAACUGGACGUCCGAAGGUGCCAUUGGCAUUUUUUUUCAUUCAGUAAUUAAGUGCAAUAUUUAACAUGCACAUGACAUUUACUGUAUCACAGAUCGACCUGUCAUUAAAAAAUCAUUCUUAAGAAUACAUUCAUUCAGUAUAGAAGGAGAAACAGAAGUAGAUGUGGAGGUAGGAAGAAAAGACGUGAAGAAAAAGAGUGAAGGGAGAAUAGAAUUAGUGUGGAUAUGAGCUUCCACUGCAUUUGUGUUUAUAUUAAUAGUUGAUUGUAUGGUUUCCCCAAGCAGCUCUUGUUUAAGAUAUUAUAUGGCACUCAGGGGUUUUUGUCCCUAAACUUUUUAAGAUAAGAUUACUUUAUGUCGCCAUGAUAUAGCCUAAAUAAUUAUUUGCUGGCAUGACAUUAAACACAAGCAAACAACAAACCCUCACCUCACACACACUCCUCUCAAGUUUACUCAGGGGAGAAGGGUGCAAUAUGAGUGGUAUGUGGUAACAAUAUUUCAAGUCAUCUUCCUCUUCCUUUAUGGAAGUGUGUGAAUGCAAGAAAAUUAAAAUAUCUAAUAGCAGGUUGCACUUCUGCUAAACAAAACUAGUAAAUGAAUAUAACAUUUAGGAAACAGAGAAUUGCCCAUACACCAUAUUUAAUAAAAAUUCCAGUCUAUGAAGAUCUUUACAUCAUACUCAGCCAAAUAUUAGAACAUUACCCUAUAAACAGCCUUCCACUUUAUUCCAAUGAUUCUGGCAGUAAACAUACACCAGGCAUGGCACUGUACCUACCAAAAUCAGCACAUGCAGUUUGUUGGGAACUGUACAGAAAACAAAUUAUGUGUAACACAUAGUACAAAUAUUUCACAGAAUCAUGCAACCUUUGCAAUCGCUUUCGUUACAUCACAUAUUAUCAUUUGAGAUAACCACACUGAUUUCAUACAUGAUUGAGCCAAAAUGCUAGGAGUACAAACCUAAGGACAAAAUUUAACUUGAUGAAAUCAAAUUAGAACUGGAAAUAAAUUAUUGCGUGACAGUAAUACCAUCAUUUUUGUUUUAGUUGAACAUUAAAUGUUAAAAAUUUGCAGUGUAAAAAUGUAAGGUGAGCAGGUGUAAAGUACAAAUUAGAUCUAAUUUCUACAUGCCAAGAUUGUUGCACGUACACAUCUAAAUGUACUAAUACUGCUGCAGCACAUAGCUGUAGUCUAUACAGAACCAAUAACUAGGCCAUGAAAAAGUAAGUCAGAUAAAUGUCUUAACUAAAAUUUCCUAGAUGGAUCAAUACAGCUAAAAUACCAUAUUGGCUAUAAAUGAGGUUUGGUCAGAAAAUUUGUUUGGACAAUUGUGUGUGUCUUGAUUCUUUUGCAAUUACUGUAACUCUGUUUGAUCUACUAGCCACUAAUUUAUGUGCACUUUUUGUGCAGGAUGCAAAAUACUGAUCCAAAUCAUUUUCAGCCAACAGCAAAACAUCUCAUCUAAAGGUGGUGUGCACCGGGCAUGGGGCUGUGAAGGGAACCUGGCCGUGGUCAGUGGAUUUUUUCCUCCUUCUUUUCUUUUACUUUUAAGAAAAAUUUGAGGAACAUUCCUCAGUCUGGGGAUUUUUUUUUUCUAUGGUAUACUACAAGUCUGAUCCUUUACCAUCAUUUUUCCUAAUUUAAUAACCACUCACAUGUAAGUAUGCUCAAGUAGUGAUAUGGAUCCUAGUGCACUUGUCCUAGUAUUUUCAAUCCAUAUUACAUUACUGAAUCAAAUGUAGAUAUUGACAAUUGAAUGGUAAGCCUAUUAUGAUAUACUGGGAAAAUAAUUUACAAUUACAAGGGACCCUGAGAGGCUGUCUGCCCCGGGGCCUGUGCUGGCUCUCGGUGGCCCUGGAUGAAGGUGUGCAGAUACAUGUCAAAAGGUCCAGAAAGUACUAACUUUUCUUGUAAAUGUUAAGUUUUACUUAUACUAUAAUAUAUGCACAUAAACAAAAAAUAUUGCAUCAACAUAAGAAAUUUAAAAUAUAAAUUGCGAUGGUAUAUUCAUAACAGAAGCUUCUACUGUUCAUUAUAUCACAAAUCAAUGGAUCAAUUUUCAUCAGGAUGACUCAGUUUUCAGUACAGGCUGACUGAACAGUCUAGGAAGAUAAGGGAGUGAGAAGUUUCCCUGUUCACGCGUCUAUGAACCUUUAAAUUUGGUCUUUUAAAUUAUGGGCAUUUUAAUGACUGGGUCAAUGUAAAUGCAACUCACCCAGAAGAUUAUUUACAAUCAAGGUAAGGACAACAAUAAAUACACAUACUUACUUUACAGUGCCACAGCUGGAAGUUAUUUACAGACCAAUUCUUACCUUUAAUAUAAUAUUAGUACAGGUUGGAAAUCAUGCAGCUUGAAAUAUUGACGUAUUUGUUAUCAAACAUGCAACUUUUGUAGCCUUUGACAGUUGGUGAAUGGGUUGAAACUUGCUAUAUCUUUUUGCAGCAUCAAUGGCACUAAAACCACAUAAGGUGACUGAUAUAACUACAUGUGACAAGAGUUGUUCUCAUGAACAGCUGGAUUGUCAGAAAAGCUGCUUUGAGGGACAGUCUAUGUAAUACAUAGCAACUCCUUUAAAAUGAGCCUCAAUUCAACAAGCUGCUGAUUUAGGCAGUCUUAGAGGAUCAACACGCAUUUUGGUCUGAGAACAACUAGAUUUUGCAAGUUUGAAAACAACGAUACACUAAAUGCAUCCAGAUAUAUUUAUUAAUGAGAGCACUCUACAUCCACCAAAAUUUUAAUGUCAGUUUUUAAAAUUGCACUUUGAAAGAAAAGAAAAUAGGGAUAUUUUAAAAUUCUCAAAAAAUGAGAUGAAUAAUAUAUACAGCAAACUAGUCUUCAUCAUUGAAAGCACAUAAGCGCAAGUAUAUGAAGGUGCAGUUUCAACUGUUUAUCUCACCAACACCCCAACAUGCAAUUUGGGGAAAAAUCAAGGACCCCACAUAGGGAUCACUUAAGGUCCCUUGUGUAGCAAGAUAUGGGAUUGUUGGUAACAAAUUAACAGUACAAAUAUUUGAAAGAAAUGUAAACAAAAAGUUCUCACUAUAGUUAUAAACAGAGGCGCAUGUAUGCAUGUAUGCAGACUCGUACAUGAAUUUAGCAAGGAAACCAUGAUGGUAUCUGUCUAGGAAAAUAUGAAAAAUUGUAGAAACAAACAAUUUAAUAUUUAAGUUUGGAAGUCCUAUGGGAUGUCAAAGCCAUCAAGGGCGUAUCUGGCCUUUGCAUUGCUGGGACCUAGCUUACUACUUACUGUCAACACAGUUGGCAUUUGAUAAUGGCCCAGCACCUGACCCCGUCAUCCAGCUCUGCAGCCACCCAGGUAUCUUGGCAGGUGUGUUUGUGGUGGGGAAGGGGUAUGUAGAGGAGACCUUGCUGUCUACAGAACUGAUGGUAACUCAAGAACAUCUUCUCUUCUAUUUAGGUCUAUUAGCUAAGGAUUUUUGGAAUCUUAAGGUAGCUAUUCCUGUGGCCUCUUCACUAUUUUCCAUAUAGUUUGGGUCAUCUUGUUAGUUUGACAAACAAAUAUCAUGGUAAAAUUCCUUUUCUCAAGAUACUAAAGAUAACCUGACUACUUGAGUCUUCCCACCUCUCUGCAAUGCCUUCUUCAGGGUGAAGACUGGUUGGGUGGAGUGGUAGCAAUUUUAUCAAUGGGAAGCAGGCAGUGGAAUUAAAUUGGCAAGUAGGGUAAUCUCUGUAUAGUUCAGUGAGUCUGGUAAGUAUCCCAAAGAAGGAAUUUUAGAACAAAGUGAUAUUUUUAUCUUAAUUAUUUGAUACAUUCAUAUUCUACAAGCAAGAGUGAUGUCAUAGCUCACAAGCCCACAAUAUUUUCUUAUAAAUGUUGUCUGUGACUAGUUGAAUAUCUAAAGUCCAAGCCAUCUAAAGUAGUUAUCAAUGCUAAUAGACAAAUAAUCUUCAAUAAUAAAAACUACUAAAAACAAUAAAUAAAUAAACUUUAAAUUGCCAAGAUGAAUAAAAUUCACAACUAAUUGCUCUUAUGAAUAAUCUACGACAGUACAGGCUGCCCAACCAUCAGCAAAUAAAUUGUACAACAAUAGGCAUAAUGCGGGAUGGUCUUGUCACUGCUAAUAUGUGACUAUGCAUGAUAAAUGACUGCUAAUAUAGGCUGAUAAUCUGGAAUUAUGCAUAUCUUAAAGUAACAUCCACAUUUAUUCAUGCCUUUCAGACAGAUUAUAUUUUAAAAAAAAGUAGGUGGGACUAUGAACUUGUUUCUUAUAAAUAAAGGCAUAACAUGAAACAUUAGUACCUCCCUAAUAUUUCAUUAAUUACAAAAGUCUAAAAUAAUUUUUUUUUUUACAGUAUGCAGUUCAUUUUUUUGUUUUGUACAAAAUAAUACUAUUAAGGAAACAAAGCAGAUAUGUUUUUAUUAGUUUAUAGAGGUUCAAGCAUCUGUGUACUAAAUUUUGUUUUAAAUUUCAGAUCACUACAACAAUUACAGGCUCACCCAAGUCAGAUAUGAAAUUGUCCACAGUUUCUGUCCAUUUAACAGAACACAAAUCUGUAAUUUGUUACCAAAAUGCAUUGUAAGUUAUAUUAAUUUAUUCUUAGAGAAGCACACUCAGACUGGCUUCAACUUCUGAUGUUACUGGUGAUCACAUUAGUGCACAAACCCCACUUUUUCUGGUUGUUUUUAUAAAAAAAUCCUCAAAACAAUAAACAUUUAAAGCAUGAUAAACAUAUUAAAAAACUAAUUUCAAAAGCAAAAACCAUGGUAUACAUCACAGCAAAUAAUUAUUUAUCCAAAGUAAUGUUUGUGUGGGAAAAAAAGAGGCACCAUAAAAACAAUUUAGCUGUGGAGUUGAUCAUGCACUUUCAAAUCUUAUACUUUUUUUAAACCUUUUUCUCCUCUUGAAAGAGUACUACUUAUUCUGGUCAUUGAAAUUAUUUAGAAAUUUCAAUACCCAUAAAAAGGCUUCAAAAGCUAUACAUCAGACUGAACAGAAGAUGAAAUGCAAAACACUUAAUAACCAUACUAGACAAUAAAAUUGUAAUAAAUAACUUACCUUUCCUAAAAUGCCUUCCUUUAUCACAUGAAACCCCUAAAAAAAAUGUAUUCUGUGUAUCAAAGCCCUCAGGAUUUAAAUCUAUCCACUUAUGGACGUAAGGAAGGGCACUAUAUGCAGCACAGAUAAAACACAAAAACAACCUCAGCGGAACAUAACAAUCUGGUUGCAUUUUCUUAGAGCUCUGCGUUGCUUACAACUUUUAAAAACAUGACUAGUGUGACAAAAGCAGAAUUUAAGGACAAACAUGGUAUGUAGCAGUCUUAGAAUAUAGGUGAUUUGUUAAAGAAAGAUACUGGAAAUUUGCACAAAACACAGAUUUAACCUAAAUGAAUGGAAAAAAUAAAAAAAUGUGAUCAAUAAGCCAAAUAAUUCAUCAGUGUGCUUACCAUCUACAGUAAGCUGAAUCAUUCAUUUCACAAGCACUUGAGAUUUAAAUGCA